This is a long non-coding RNA of Neofelis nebulosa (Clouded leopard), 1472 nucleotides long. RefSeq lists it as uncharacterized. The transcript has 3 exons. Lineage: Eukaryota; Metazoa; Chordata; Mammalia; Carnivora; Felidae. The record is from RefSeq and is a predicted model, not a curated record.
UCCGGGGAGGGUGCCUCGUGGAAAUGGGUCUGCUACCACCAUGGCUUCCCCAGGUUCCAGGGAAGAAGGCGAUGAUCCCUCCCAAGGUUUUGCCGAAUUUUAUGCCUUUUCCUACCGCCGGAAGUCCUCUGGUGUCGCGGACUGCCUUGAAUUUCCCAGUGCCCAUGGGUAGCGUCGUCUGUCUCCAUGCAACAUCGUGGUUGCACGUGGGAAGCCAGCCGUGUCAUUUUCCUCUGCCACCACAGCAUUUUUCUUUUUACAAGAGUCAAACCACCCGUCUGCCUCCUAGUUCUUAAAAGUGUUUGUUGUUUUUCACACGCAGCCAAGGAAGGAUGUGUCUGCCAAGCAAGCGUAGCGGUAAUUAAAACGUGACGGCAACUAUCGCCAAGAACUCCUCCCACGCCAGGUCAAGGGCGGCACGAGGUGUCACAGUCGCGGGCAGGGGCCUGCCCGUGCUCCCACCGGGCAGGUGUCCGCGUCUGCAUCGGCGCUCCCAAUGCCGGGACCCACAGCCAGGUGUGGGUUUCGAACAGGAGCCCUUGAACGUGCGCGUGACUGGUCAUUGCUUCACAGAGCCCUUUUUAAAUGGUGAAAGUCUGCGCCGAGUUUGGGGGAUUAUCAAAGUGCAAACAAGAGGAAAGAGCGCAGGGGCUGGGGAGGGCUUUGUUCAGCUGGCACCUUCUCAGGCGGUCUGGGCUGAGGGGACCUGGAGAGUCCUUAGCAGGAGCGGAUGAAAAGGCGGCGGUGCCCCAGGCCCCCCAAGCACCUUCCAGCCUCUGGAAGGACAGGGUGACCCCCUGGACCAAGAGCCCCUUGGAGAAAGAGGACUUCACCCACCGCUUGGUAGCGCCUCUGCUCUCCAAGAGACAAGUGGGAGGUCUGCACACCCUUAUAGACUCUCAUUUAAGCAUCAUGCCAUCUUGCUCAACUGAAGGACAAGUUGUGUGUCGUUGACCCAGGGCAGGGGCUCAGCCACGCCCCCCCAACACCUUCGUGCUGCUCGAUGCCACUGCGGACCAGGGUUUUAUCGUUCAUCUCUCCUUCACUGACAGCAGAGAAGGUUCCAGUGCUCAAAUCCAUGCCUUGAAGUCUGUGAAACGCAGGGAAGGAGUAGAGCCGCUGAUGGCCAGUUUCCCUUGUGCCUUGCCCAGCGCAUCUCUCUGUGGCCCCAGACCAUCCUGUCCUCGUGUGCGGUCUGGGGACAGGGUUGUGGUGGCCCAUGACUGGAGUAGAUGUUUUUAAGAAUCCAAGACUCCGGGGGCGCCUGGGUGGCUCUGUCGGUUGAUUGCCCGACUUGGUUUCGGCUCAGCUCACGACCUUAGCUCAUGAUCAGGGGGUUCGUGAGUUCAGGUCCUGCCUUGGUCUCUGCACUGACAGCACGGAGCCUGCUUGCGAUUCUCUCUCUCCCUCUCUCUGCCUUCCCCCACUGGCUCUCUGCCUCUCUCUUUCAAAAUAAAUAAAUAAAACCCGAA